CUAAAAACCCUGACGUUGUUCGGUUUCCCUAGACGACACUGGUGUGAAUGAAGGGGGAUGCCAUGGCUGAUGUUUGGCGUUCUUGUGUAGGGUGGGGAAAGGUAUUUCCAGCAACCUGGUUCACCUCUGAGGCCACCUCUCUGAGGAACGCCACCAUCUGCUACCACUCUUUCAAACUGAAACCUCAGCUGACCUCGGCUCUGGGGAGAUGCCCAGGCACAGCCCACUCGAACAUGACAAAGCGAAAAACAGACAUUCACUCCCAGCCUGGUGGUUUCACCUCCAGAUCUCAGACAUAAGAUUAACUCAGCCCACCACUCCUCCCUCACCCCCAACCAAGAGAGAGCCUGCAGGAGGCCAGCGGAUUCAUUCCAUUGUUUAAAGGACUGAGUGGAAUCAUCCACUUGGGGAUUCCAUCCAUCAAGUCCAAUGUUUGGGUUUGUUUUGUUUGGUAGAUGAAAAAGCCCAAUUUGGCUGUCUCCCAGUCCAUUCUACAUACCACCGUGUGAAAGCCAAGACCAAGGGUCCUCCCGAGAAACAACAGAAGAUGGAUAAUUCUCUGAGCCAAGAAGCCAGCAGUGCUUCAUCCUUCCCGCCAAAGCCUGCUCAAAUUCCCACAUGUUUGCUUUUCCAUAGUCUCUAGAAGUGGAGGGCAAAGGAGCAACCACAGCAGCCAAGUUCAUUCAUUCAUUCAUUCAUUCAUUCCAGCAAACAAUUACUGAGUACUUACCAUGUGCCAAACGCUGUUCUAAGCCCUGUGGCUACAGCCAUGGUCAAGACAUUGAUGUGGAGGUACAAGGUUCAGGACAUCCAUAAAUCAUACCGUAGAGAUUCAAGGUCAACCCUGGAGAGAAAGAUAGAGUCUCAGAACCUUAUGGCAAGGACACUGUCAUCACCGUGUCUUCCCUCCACUCUCCAUCCCACAACCAUCCUCACAAAUGAAUAUGGCUGAUGGUGGAGAACUCACUGCUUCUCCAGUAAGACUGUUCUUCCCAUCAGGCCCUGCUUUGUCCCCAGAACUACACAGAACCUCCACGCUCUUUCUUCCCCACGGUCACUCUUCCAACACUGCAGGCAGUGCCAUGUUUCUGUUGUUCUUCACACUAAAUGUAGGGACAAAGGUGUGGGAGGAUGGCCCAGAGGGAGUCCAAGCUAAAGUGCAGAAGUGCCUGGGCUUCUCUGGAAACUGCUGGCGCGUAUCCCCCAGAGGUCUGUCUGCAUGAGACUGAAGAUCCUGUUAGGAAUGAAUUCAUCCAGGGAGAGGAAGACGGAGGUGACCAGCUUGACCCUUUGCCAAGCCUUGAUCGUUGGAGAGAGGGACAAACCUGAGCUGAGCUCUGAGUCCCAAAACAGAUUUUAAAAAUACGUGUGUGUGUAUAUGUAUGGAAAAGGAGCGAGAGAAAAUGUUGAUUUUUUUUUUUUUCUGGGGGGGG
This 1433-nucleotide long non-coding RNA is filed under the name Equus caballus (horse). RNAcentral describes it as "lncRNA (ENSECAG00000038321.2)". The record is from RNAcentral. Lineage: Eukaryota; Metazoa; Chordata; Mammalia; Perissodactyla; Equidae.